This 201-nucleotide ribosomal RNA is filed under the name uncultured bacterium. RNAcentral's name for it is "partial 16S ribosomal RNA". It matches the Rfam family "Bacterial small subunit ribosomal RNA", at positions 328 to 538 of the family's 1533-position model. The record is from RNAcentral.
ACGUUCGACACCUAUGGGAGGCAGCAGUUGGGAAUAUUGGACAAUGGAGGAAACUCUGAUCCAGUGACGCCGCGUGAAGGAAGAAGGUCUUCGGAUUGUAAACUUAUUUUGUCAGGGAAGAAAAAAUGACUGUACCUGAAGAAAAAGCACCGGCUAACUACGUGCCAGUAGCCGCGGUAAUCUGAGCGGGCGUGGCAAGGC